CUGGUGUUAUGAAUUCACUGCAGGAUGCAAAGAUUCAGAAUCCUUUAUUAAUCCCACAAUGGAGAUAUUCACACUGUUGCAGUAGUAAGGGAUAGG
Sander lucioperca (pikeperch) is the source of this 96-nucleotide long non-coding RNA. RefSeq lists it as uncharacterized. Lineage: Eukaryota; Metazoa; Chordata; Actinopteri; Perciformes; Percidae. The record is from RefSeq and is a predicted model, not a curated record. The transcript is spliced from 4 exons.